CCUACGGGAGGCAGCAGUGGGGGAUAUUGCACAAUGGGGGGAACCCUGAUGCAGCGACGCCGCGUGGGUGAAGGAGUGCUUCGGCAUGUAAAGCCCUAUCGGCAGGGAAGAAGCAAGACGGUACCUGACUAAGAAGCCCCGGCUAACUACGUGCCAGCAGCCGCGGUAAUACGUAGGGGGCGAGCGUUAUCCGGAUUCACUGGGUGGAAAGGGAGCGUAGACGGCCAUGCAAGCCAGGGGUGAAAGCCCGGGGCCCAACCCCGGGACUGCCCUUGGAACUGCAUGGCUGGAGUGCGGGAGGGGCAGGCGGAAGUCCUGGUGUAGCGGUGAAAUGCGUAGAUAUCAGGAGGAACACCGGCGGCGAAGGCGGCCUGCUGGACCGCGACUGACGUUGAGGCUCGAAAGCGUGGGGAGCGAACAGGAUUAGAUACCCUAGUAGUC
This 441-nucleotide ribosomal RNA is filed under the name uncultured bacterium. RNAcentral's name for it is "partial 16S ribosomal RNA". It matches the Rfam family "Bacterial small subunit ribosomal RNA", at positions 338 to 795 of the family's 1533-position model. The record is from RNAcentral.